AUACAAAGCAAGCAAACCUUUCUGAAAAAUGUAUAUAAAAUUAUAUACACACAUAUCCCGAAAAAUUAUCAAAGGUUGGGUUCUAAGAAUAUUGCCACAAAUUGUGUAAAACACAAUUCCCCCAACCAAAACUUCUUUAAUGAAAUUGACUAGUCAUGUAAAAGGGGACAAACAAAA
Molecule: long non-coding RNA, 177 nt
Organism: Ruditapes philippinarum (Manila clam)
Lineage: Eukaryota; Metazoa; Mollusca; Bivalvia; Venerida; Veneridae
Exons: 2
Source: RefSeq, a predicted model, not a curated record